AGCUAUUUCCUAAUAUAGAAGCUUCCGUUAAUCCUAUUACAUUGAUAAUAUUUUAGAAAUAGUGCUAAUCUAUUCUGUCAUUCUUCUUCUAGACCUUCUAUUGUGAAUGAAUAGUCCCUCUUAUUCAUGGUUGGAUACAAAUGAAUUCUGAAUUGAAAUUAAUGCAAAAUGGAGCCUCUGGGCAUACUGCAGCAGAGACUUCUCAAGAUCUUCAAGAACAUGGAAUCACCUCUAUAGAUUGGCUGCCAUAUUCACCAGAUUUGAACCCAAUUGAAUCUGUAUGAAAUCUUAUGAAGCAGUGGAUACAAGAGAAUCAUGAAGAUUCAGAGAAUCUUUCUUAUGAUACACUUUGAAGGGUGGUUAGAGCUGCCUGGGAUUCAAUAACAGAGGGGCAAUUACAAGAACUUAUAGCAGAGAUGCCAGCUCACUGUCAGGCUGUUAUACAGGCAGGUGGUGGCUAUACUAAAUAUUAAUAUGAUUGAUUCUACAGAGUAUUCUGCUUAAUGAAAAACAUGCUCAAACGCGAGAAUGCCACAGAUCCCCCCAGAAUGAACGUUAGAAUGCCACUAAAAUAUUAGGGUGGUUCUAACAAAAACACCGGGGUUAACCUGCGUAAUAUCAUUGAAUUUUAACCCACAUUGUUGUAAAGAUUGACAUCCAAUCAUUUCAGCUAUAAAAUGAAGUAACUUUUGUGCCCCUAUGAUUCUUAAACUUCGCUUCGCUCUGUCUAAUAA
RNAcentral lists this small RNA (734 nucleotides) under Histoplasma capsulatum var. duboisii H88. RNAcentral describes it as "Histoplasma capsulatum H88 hypothetical RNA". The record is from RNAcentral. Lineage: Eukaryota; Fungi; Ascomycota; Eurotiomycetes; Onygenales; Ajellomycetaceae.